GACGUGAAGACACCUGAGAGACCGAGGGAAAAGAUGAGCUCAGCUAAAUUCAAGAUAGAUGCCAGUUAGAAAAAAUAAUUAUGAGUAAAAGUUGAUACAUUACUUCAAGUUACACAGCAAAUGAAGUUUAUAGUGUUUGGGGGAUCCUGUGCUUCAUAUUGAGUUUAAUAAUUCGUCUAUUUUCGGUGAAGUUAUUUGUAUGCGGGUUGUUCUCUUCAUGGUCAAACUCUGUGAGAGAGAGACUUCAGUGGGCAGGAGGCCAGAGGAGCUCUGCUGCUGUUUGUGGAGGAGCCAUCCCAUCAUUUGGAUUCGGACGUGCUGCAGGCGUCACUUGGAUUUCAGUAGACACCAGCAUGCUGUGAGGACACAUUACUGAUGGACAUGUUGAAGCUACUGCUGGUCUCUGUGAGAGUGAAGUACCCGUUUG
Molecule: long non-coding RNA, 427 nt
Organism: Perca fluviatilis (European perch)
Lineage: Eukaryota; Metazoa; Chordata; Actinopteri; Perciformes; Percidae
Exons: 3
Source: RefSeq, a predicted model, not a curated record